Molecule: ribosomal RNA, 228 nt
Filed under: uncultured archaeon
Lineage: Archaea
Description: partial 16S ribosomal RNA
Rfam family: Archaeal small subunit ribosomal RNA
Source: RNAcentral
UAGCCACGGUAAAACCCAGCUCCGCGAGUGGUCGGGGACGAUUUAUUUGGGGCCUAAAAGCGUCCGUAGCCGGCCUAUCAAGUCUCUGGUUAAACCUCAAGGCUUCAACCUUGAGAUUGCUGGAGAUACUGGUUAGGGCUAGGGGGGCGGGAGAGGUUUGAGGGGUACUUUCGGCGGGGUAAGGGGCGAAAUCCUAUAAGUCCGCGAAGGACCACCAGUGGCGAAGGC